Molecule: RNA transcript, 4947 nt
Organism: Monodelphis domestica (gray short-tailed opossum)
Lineage: Eukaryota; Metazoa; Chordata; Mammalia; Didelphimorphia; Didelphidae
Gene name: zinc finger protein 679-like
Source: RefSeq, a predicted model, not a curated record
GGGAGGGGAACAGGCUGCAGCCCCCCAGGGUGGGGAACAAUUCCUUUAUACCCCUCCCCCACCACACAGGAGCCAGGGCAGAAGGACUCCAUUUCCCAGAAUGCCGGAUUCCUGACUUCUCCCUAGUCUUGGCUCCUCCCCACUGUGGCAGCCGCGGGGCAUGCUGGGAACCUUAUGUGCGAUCUCAGCUCUUGGAAAAGUCUCUAGUGAUCUUCUUGGACCUUUGCCUAGGCACACACAGAGGAAGUCUCCCCUCCUCGGGGCUGCCACCCCCUGAAGCCCCGCAGAGACCCCGCAGCCAGAGGAAUGGCCCCCGGGACCCCGAGGCCCCCCUCCCAGGGGUCAAUAACAUUCAAGGAUGUGGCUGUGGACUUCACCCAGGAAGAGUGUGUAAUGUCCAGUUCUGGCUCCGAUUCCAUGGAGGACACACACACGGUAAUGCAACACACAAGAGUGGUGCCUCUUGGACCAUUCUCAGAAAGAGCUGUACCUGGAGGUCAUGCUGGAGAAUGUGCAGAAUCUAUUCUCUGUGGGGCUUCCAGUAACUAGCGAACAUUUAAUCUCCUGUUUUCAGCAAGGGAAAGCACCAUGGCUGCUAGAGCAAAAAGACCCAAGGAGCUCCUCUCCAGUGGUAGAUUUUGAAGUGAAGGUUAUGUGUACAAAGCUGAGCCUUUUUGUGGAAGGAUCUGGCCCCCAAAGAUGCAUUAAUGAGGAUCCUCAUUACUUCAUUUUGAGAGAAAUAUGUGAUUCUACUAUCAAAGUAAAUAAAAAUCCAAAGAGUGACUAUGAAAUUGCAGAGAAAUUCAACUAAUAUUCAGUCCUAACGCAGUAUAUGAAAAUAACCUCAGGAAAUGACUGUUGUCAGGAUACCAAAUAUAGGAAAUGCUUUCCUGAAGAAUUAGGAUUUGUUCAGUCACCUGAGAAACCUGAAAAUAUAUCAAGGUACGAUAGGAGGAAUGGCCAUUGGUUGGAAUUUAGACUCCAUUAGACAUCCAAAAAGUAAACCUUUCAAGAUAUUUUCUGUGAAUAAUAAAGUUGGGAGACCUUUCAGUCAGAAAUCUAAGCUUUCUACACAUCAGAGAAUCCACACUAGAAAGAAACCUCAUGAAUAUAAACAUUGUGGAAAGGCUUUCACAUAGAGAGGCUCUGUUGUUCACCAUGAGAGAAUACACACAGGAGAGAAACCUUAUGAAUGUCAACACUGUAGAAAGGCUUUCAUACAGAGGAGUAAUCUUGCUACACAUCAGAGCAUCCACACUGGAGAGAAACCUUAUAAAUGUCAACACUGUGGAAAGGCUUUCAGACAGAGGAGCAGUCUUGCUACACAUCAGAGAAUCCACACUAGAGAGAAACUCUAUGAAUGUAAACAUUGUGGAAAGGCUUUCACAAAGAGGGCCUCUUUUGUUCAACAUGAGAGAAUCUACACUGGAGAGAAACCUUAUGAAUGUCAAAAUGUGGAAAGGCUUUUUUCAUAAAUAGGGGCCAUGUUAUUGCACAUCUGAGCAUCCACACUGAAGAGAAUCCUUAUAAAUAUCAACAGUGUGGAAAGCCUUUCACACAGAGGCACAGUCUUAUUGUACAUCAAAGAAUCCACACUGGAGAGAAACCUCAUGAAUGUAAACACCGUGGAAAGGCUUUCACAAAGAGGGGCAAUCUUAUUGCACAUCAGAGCAUCCACACUAGAGAGAAACCUUAUGAAUGUCAACAAUGUGGAAAAGCUUUUACAGAGAAAGGAUCCCUUGCUAAACAUCAGAUCAUCCACACAGGAGGGAAACCUCAUAAAUGUAAACACUGUGGAAAGACCUUCACAAAUAGGAGUAGACUUAUUGCACAUCAGAGAAUCCGCACUGGAGAGAAACCUUAUGAAUGUAAAACAGUGUGUAAAGGCUUUUAUGCUAAGGAGUAAUUUUUCCAGACAUCAGAAAAUCCCCACUGGAGGCAAACCUCAUGAAUGUAAACAUGGAAAGACUUUUACAUGGAAGGAAUCUCUUUCCAGACAUCUGACGAUCCAGAUGGGAGAGAAAACUUAUUGUAUGGAAUAAAAUCAUGUUUUAUUCUCCAGCAUGUAUUAAUUAGUAUUAAUAAUUUUUAAUUGGUAAGUCCCUAUAGAAGAGUUGUGAAAAUCUGGUGACUAUCGGACGGGAGAUACUAAUCUCUUCUUAUGAAGAGUUGAGAAAUCCCGCUCCCCAGCAUCUUUUUACCUACAUAAAUAUACACCUUCAAUUCAUUCUAUUCUUAUGUGGUUAAAACUUCUUUUAAAAAAUUCAUAUUCAGGGGGAACAGAUGGGUAGCUCAGUGAAUUGAGAGCCAGGCCUAGAGAUGGGAGGUUCUAGGUUCAAAUCUGGCCUCAGACAUUUCCCAGCUGUGUGACCCUGGGCAAGUCACUUGACCUUCAUUGCCUAUCACUUGCCACUCUUCUGCCUUGGAGCCAAUAGACAAUAUUGAUUCCAAGAUGGAAAGUAAGGAAAGAUGCACUUCAGGCAGAUAGAGAGCAGAAAGAACUUCAUUAAUAAUUUCUGAAUUUGGUAUGGAUUUUCUAGCUGAGGUUAAAAAUCCUCUCUAGAGCCAUAGCAUCCCAACCGAGUGACAAAUGCCAAAAACAUAUCUAGAAUCCAUAUAAAUUGUUGCAUCUUUACCCUUGGCAAUUAUACAGGCAUGUUUGAGAGCUAUGAGUUCUGCUCCUUGAGCACUAAUAUUAGAGGGUAGCAAAGCUGACCACUCAGUGGCAAAUUCUGUGACUACAGCAGCUCCAUUGUAGCAUAUGCCAUCUCUCAUAAAAGAAGGACCAUCAGUAAAUAAGACCAGAUCUAGAUUGUCUAAGGGAGUGUCCAAGAGAUUAUCUAGAGGCUUUUCUGCCUUGGACACUAGUAUUUCACAAUUGUGCAAUGGCUCUCCUGAAAAUUGGUAAAUCUGGAAGCAAGGUGGCAGUGUUAAGGGUUGAACAGCGUUUCAAGGUAAUGUUUUCAUUGUUUAACAAGGUUAUUUCAUACCUUGUAAUUCACUGAUCAGAAAAUGCCUGUGCUCUAUGUCUUAGCAACAAUGCUUCUAUCUCAUGGGAGCACAUAAUUGUUAAUGGGUAUCCCAAUACUAAAUCAACAGUUUUUGUCACUAGUACGGCUGUAGCACCUACUCCUCUAAGACAGGGUGGUGCUCCUGAUGCUACUGGGUCCAGUUGGACAGAAUAAUAAACAAUUGGGCACUGAGAAGGCCCCAAAGUCUGGGUUAAAACACGUGAAGCUACCCCUCUUCACUCAUGUACAUACAAAGUAAAUGGCUUCUUGAAAUCUGGGAGGCCUAGAGUGAGGGCAGACAGGAUAGUCUGUUUUUGAUUUGAUAGAGCUGACAAGUGUUCUGGCUCUAAAUUUAGGGGUUCAGGGACCAAAUCCCUUAUUAGUUCUAUAAGGGGUUAGUAAAGGUGAAUAUAUUUGGGAUUUUUUCAUCUCUCUUUCUCUUGCUCUCUUUCCCUGAUUGGCGGUGAAGAGUUAGUUGAGAGCUGUGUGCUGAGCCUUAGGCUACGAGCUAUUGUCCAAUUCAGUGGUGAGUUUCUGGCUGAAUUUUCCCCCUUUAAUUUUCAACUUUUUCCUCUCAGAAGCCUCUAAUCUUCUUCAGAUACCUAGAGGCAGGGAGUUUAAAACUCCCCCUGGCUUAGGCCAGGUAGGAGAAAUCCUAUAUCCUCUUUUUUUUUCUCCUCCUUAAAUUCCUUCCUUCUAUAUUAAUUAAAUUACCAUAAAUUUCCAGACUGACUUGGGGGUUUUAUUUGGCAACCAUUGUAAGAUAAUUUUAGCUUUGUGACUUUAAAUCUAAAUAAUUGGUCACCAGGGAAAAUUCCCAAAUAAUAAAAUGCCCAAGUCAGCUGAGCAUGAUGGUUAUUUUUAUACAGAGAGAAGGAAUUAAGGAAAGGAGAGAGAGAGAGAGAGAGAGAGAGAGAGAGAGAGAGAGAGAGAGAAUUAAUUUAAACUGCUCUGGCUCAGGCUGAGUCAGGCAGUAUUUAAAGGCCUUGGUCAAAGUGGCCUCCCUGAGCCUAAGGGAAAGGGAGUCAGUCUUAUAACUCACCACGAGACAGUCUCCAGGAAACUGUCUGAGGAUAAUCCUCCAGGCUGAGUUCUAGUCCUCCACUGAACUCAGUCUCCUGAACUGAGUUCAAUUGCCUGAACUGACUAUUUUAGCCACCUUUUAAAGAAAUUUUCUCUUAUGUCACCUCCCCUAAAUUUUCACAUCUACCAAUCAUAGCAGACUCUUUUUUCCAGGACUGCCUAUUCUUUAGUUCUCACCUUCUUUGAUUAGAUUUUCUCCAGGACUAUCUACUCUUUAGUUCUCACCUUCUCUGAUUAGAUUAUAUCUUCUAAGGUACUUCACACUGCUUUUUUAAGCUUACCUUUUGGGAGUUACUUGACCUUUUUGUGAUUAAUUUAACCUUUAUAGGUACUUAACACCCUUUGUAGUAGAUCUAAAAAUAGACUUAGCUUAUGUUUUAGCUUCACUAUAAGGUAUGAGUUAAGUACCUUCAUUGUUCAAUCAGGAGUUUACAACUUUAUCUUCCCCUAAAGUAUGUCUAGUUAGGGUGGAGUAAUGUCCAAGUUCACACCAUUUAAAUCUAGAUUUAAAGUCACAACCCUAAAAUUAUCUUGACAAUACUAACCACAAAACAAUGAUCCAGGACAAUUCUGAGAGACUUCUGAAAAAGAAUGCUCUCCAUCUCCAAAGAAAGAACUAUUGGAGCAGAAAUGAAGGUGAAAACAUAUGACUUAUCACUUGUUUAUUUGGGUAUAUGAUUUGGGGGUUUGAUUUUAUAGAAUUGUUCACUUAUAGGAAUGACUAAUGUGGAAAUAAAAGAAUUGAGAGAACAUUACAAGAUAUAAAAUGAAUAAUUAUGUUUAAGGAAAUGUACAAAUAAAUGCAAUGCAAGGAAGUUUAGGUGGAAAUAAACUGGGGGAAAUGUAUAACAAA